Molecule: ribosomal RNA, 497 nt
Filed under: uncultured bacterium
Lineage: Bacteria
Description: partial 16S ribosomal RNA
Rfam family: Bacterial small subunit ribosomal RNA
Source: RNAcentral
GAUGAACGCUGGCGGCGUGCCUAAUACAUGCAAGUCGAGCGAACAGACGAGGAGCUUGCUCCUCUGACGUUAGCGGCGGACGGGUGAGUAACACGUGGAUAACCUACCUAUAAGACUGGGAUAACUUCGGGAAACCGGAGCUAAUACCGGAUAAUAUAUUGAACCGCAUGGUUCAAUAGUGAAAGACGGUUUUGCUGUCACUUAUAGAUGGAUCCGCGCCGCAUUAGCUAGUUGGUAAGGUAACGGCUUACCAAGGCAACGAUGCGUAGCCGACCUGAGAGGGUGAUCGGCCACACUGGAACUGAGACACGGUCCAGACUCCUACGGGAGGCAGCCGUAGGGAAUCUUCCGCAAUGGGCGAAAGCCUGACGGAGCAACGCCGCGUGAUUGAUGAAGGUCUUCGGAUCGUAAAACUCUGUUAUUAGGGAAGAACAAAUGUGUAAGUAACUAUGCACGUCUUGACGGUACCUAAUCAGAAAGCCACGGCUAACUACGUG